RNAcentral lists this unclassified non-coding RNA (203 nucleotides) under Hevea brasiliensis (rubber tree). The record is from RNAcentral. Lineage: Eukaryota; Viridiplantae; Streptophyta; Magnoliopsida; Malpighiales; Euphorbiaceae.
GUUUUUGUUACUUGUUCGUCUCUGAUUUCUUCGUUUUUCGACGAACCCCAUUUUCAUUUCUCUUCAAUUUUUUAUUCUUUUGCUGUAUAAAGAGCGACCCAGAUCGCAAUUCUGCAUCAUUCGAUGUUUUUCGUAUCUGGGUUUUUGAUUUUGUGUUGAAUCGUUCUGUUUUGAGGUUAAUUUUUUGAGUUCUGAUGACGACG